This 500-nucleotide ribosomal RNA is filed under the name uncultured bacterium. Its description in RNAcentral is "partial 16S ribosomal RNA". It matches the Rfam family "Bacterial small subunit ribosomal RNA", at positions 30 to 523 of the family's 1533-position model. The record is from RNAcentral.
AUUGAACGCUGGCGGAAUGCUUUACACAUGCAAGUCGAACGGCAGCACGGACUUCGGUCUGGUGGCGAGUGGCGAACGGGUGAGUAAUACAUCGGAACGUGCCCAGUCGUGGGGGAUAACGUAGCGAAAGCUACGCUAAUACCGCAUACGAUCUAAGGAUGAAAGCGGGGGAUCGCAAGACCUCGCGCGAUUGGAGCGGCCGAUGGCAGAUUAGGUAGUUGGUAGGGUAAGGGCCUACCAAGCCGACGAUCUGUAGCUGGUCUGAGAGGAUGUUCAGCCACACUGGGACUGAGACACGGCCCAGACUACUACGGGAGGCAGCAGUGGGGAAUUUUGGACAAUGGGCGCAAGCCUGAUCCAGCCAUUCCGCGUGCAGGAUGAAGGCCUUCGGGUUGUAAACUGCUUUUGUACAGAACGAAAAGGCUCUGGUUAAUACCCGGGGCUCAUGACGGUACUGUAAGAAUAAGCACCGGCUAACUACGUGCCAGCAGCCGCCGUAA